Molecule: ribosomal RNA, 254 nt
Filed under: uncultured bacterium
Lineage: Bacteria
Description: partial 16S ribosomal RNA
Rfam family: Bacterial small subunit ribosomal RNA
Source: RNAcentral
UACGUAGGGCGCAAGCGUUAUCCGGAAUUAUUGGGCGUAAAGAGCUCGUAGGCGGUUUGUCGCGUCUGCCGUGAAAGUCCGGGGCUCAACUCCGGAUCUGCGGUGGGUACGGGCAGACUAGAGUGAUGUAGGGGAGACUGGAAUUCCUGGUGUAGCGGUGAAAUGCGCAGAUAUCAGGAGGAACACCGGUGGCGAAGGCGGAUCUCUGGGCCUUACCUGACGCUGAGUGAGCGAAAGCCAGGGGAGCAAACGGG